UUUGGGCUGCUUAGCUUUCAGAGGGAUGUGCUGCUGAUGUCUGUCCUUUUUAAAGAGAGCUAGAGCUGAAACCUUACUGGGAACUGGAAGAUGGAAACACAGCGGUGAGCCUGGAGCAGGGCGACGCCAGCCUGGAGGCCCUCUCUUCCUGCCCACAACCUCACCUCCUCACAUCUACACUGCACACUUGCACCGGCCUUCUUUCUGCUUCUUGGGACCACAGACUGAGAAGGGACCCCCAGUCCUGCUAGCUCCUUGCUUGGUCUC
RNAcentral lists this long non-coding RNA (267 nucleotides) under Homo sapiens (human). RNAcentral's name for it is "HSALNT0206836". Lineage: Eukaryota; Metazoa; Chordata; Mammalia; Primates; Hominidae. The record is from RNAcentral.